ACGAACGCCGGCGGCAUGCCUAACACAUGCAAGUCGAACGAGACCUUCGGGUCUAGUGGCGCACGGGUGCGUAACGCGUGGGAACCUGCCCUUAGGUUCGGAAUAACUCCCCGAAAGGGGUGCUAAUACCGGAUAAUGUCUUCGGACCAAAGAUUUAUCGCCUUUGGAUGGGCCCGCGUUGGAUUAGCUAGUUGGUAGGGUAAAAGCCUACCAAGGCGACGAUCCAUAGCUGGUCUGAGAGGAUGAUCAGCCACACUGGGACUGAGACACGGCCCAGACUCCUACGGGAGGCAGCAGUGGGGAAUAUUGGACAAUGGGCGAAAGCCUGAUCCAGCAAUGCCGCGUGAGUGAUGAAGGCCUUAGGGUUGUAAAGCUCUUUUACCCGGGAUGAUAAUGACAGUACCGGGAGAAUAAGCUCCGGCUAACUCCGUG
RNAcentral lists this ribosomal RNA (432 nucleotides) under uncultured bacterium. RNAcentral's name for it is "partial 16S ribosomal RNA". It matches the Rfam family "Bacterial small subunit ribosomal RNA", at positions 29 to 507 of the family's 1533-position model. The record is from RNAcentral.